This 486-nucleotide ribosomal RNA is filed under the name uncultured bacterium. RNAcentral's name for it is "bacterial SSU rRNA". It matches the Rfam family "Bacterial small subunit ribosomal RNA", at positions 28 to 526 of the family's 1533-position model. The record is from RNAcentral.
GACGAACGCUGGCGGCGUGCUUAACACAUGCAAGUCGAACGGAAAGGCUCCAGCUUGCUGGAGUACUCGAGUGGCGAACGGGUGAGUAACACGUGGGUAAUCUGCCCUGCACUCUGGGAUAAGCCUGGGAAACUGGGUCUAAUACUGGAUAUGAACUUUCUCCUUAUGGGGUUUGGUGGAAGGUUUUUCGGUGUAGGAUGAGCCCGCGGCCUCUCAGCUUGUUGGUGGGGUGAUGGCCUACCAAGGCGACGACGGGUAGCCGGCCUGAGAGGGUGAUCGGCCACAUUGGGACUGAGAUACGGCCCAGACUCCUACGGGAGGCAGCAGUGGGGAAUAUUGCACAAUGGGCGGAAGCCUGAUGCAGCGACGCCGCGUGAGGGAUGACGGCCUUCGGGUUGUAAACCUCUUUCAGCAGGGACGAAGCGUAAGUGACGGUACCUGCAGAAGAAGCACCGGCUAACUACGUGCCAGCAGCCGCAGUAACAG